Molecule: long non-coding RNA, 865 nt
Filed under: Homo sapiens (human)
Lineage: Eukaryota; Metazoa; Chordata; Mammalia; Primates; Hominidae
Description: long non-coding RNA NONHSAT192094.1
Rfam family: mir-650 microRNA precursor family (bases 1-71)
Source: RNAcentral
CGCUCUCGGGACGUCUCCACCAUGGCCUGGGCUCUGCUGCUCCUCACUCUCCUCACUCAGGACACAGGGUCCUGGGCCCAGUCUGCCCUGACUCAGCCUGCCUCCGUGUCUGGGUCUCCUGGACAGUCGAUCACCAUCUCCUGCACUGGAACCAGCAGUGAUGUUGGGAGUUAUAACCUUGUCUCCUGGUACCAACAGCACCCAGGCAAAGCCCCCAAACUCAUGAUUUAUGAGGGCAGUAAGCGGCCCUCAGGGGUUUCUAAUCGCUUCUCUGGCUCCAAGUCUGGCAACACGGCCUCCCUGACAAUCUCUGGGCUCCAGGCUGAGGACGAGGCUGAUUAUUACUGCUGCUCAUAUGCUGGUCUUGAACUUCUGACCUCAGGUGAUCCACCCGCCUUGGCCUCCGAAGUCAGCCCAAGGCUGCCCCCUCGGUCACUCUGUUCCCACCCUCCUCUGAGGAGCUUCAAGCCAACAAGGCCACACUGGUGUGUCUCAUAAGUGACUUCUACCCGGGAGCCGUGACAGUGGCCUGGAAGGCAGAUAGCAGCCCCGUCAAGGCGGGAGUGGAGACCACCACACCCUCCAAACAAAGCAACAACAAGUACGCGGCCAGCAGCUACCUGAGCCUGACGCCUGAGCAGUGGAAGUCCCACAAAAGCUACAGCUGCCAGGUCACGCAUGAAGGGAGCACCGUGGAGAAGACAGUGGCCCCUACAGAAUGUUCAUAGGUUCUCAUCCCUCACCCCCCACCACGGGAGACUAGAGCUGCAGGAUCCCAGGGGAGGGGUCUCUCCUCCCACCCCAAGGCAUCAAGCCCUUCUCCCUGCACUCAAUAAACCCUCAAUAAAUAUUCUCAUUGUCAAUC